GUAGGUGAACCUGCGGAAGGAUCAUUACCGAUUUUAGCGAACAUGGCCUUUGGUCAUGGUCUCGCGAAAAACUUGUAUUUAAAACCCCACUCUUAUAACGAAAUAUUUUGUAUAUAUAAUAAAAUAAGAUCACUUUCAACAACGGAUCUCUUGGCUCUC
RNAcentral lists this unclassified non-coding RNA (159 nucleotides) under rhizosphere metagenome. RNAcentral describes it as "partial ribosomal RNA internal transcribed spacer region". The record is from RNAcentral.